UGGUGGUUUACAGUUUUUGGGCAAUUAUGGAAGUGACUGAUUUUCAGUUUGUCCAGCUUUUUCUUCUAAGAAUGAGAGUGAUGACUUCCCAGCUAUUUCCAGAAACCGGAAGUGAGAACUUUUACUUUUUACUCUUCACAAUUCUGCAUAAUAUUUUUCUACAUCUUCUCCUGAGGUCCAUCAGACCGUGUUAAUGAUAUUGUAAGACCCGGGAUUCAUGUUGAUUGACAUUAUGGAGACUCGUAUUCAUGUAUUAGAGCUGGCUGCAUUACAUCAGACUGAAAAUGGAUCCUGUCAUGUGAUGGAGAAAGAAUGCUGCCAGACAAUUCAGUGGUAUGGUUUCAGAUUAUUGAGUGUG
Molecule: long non-coding RNA, 358 nt
Organism: Equus caballus (horse)
Lineage: Eukaryota; Metazoa; Chordata; Mammalia; Perissodactyla; Equidae
Source: RefSeq, a predicted model, not a curated record